GCAUUGGUGGUUCAGUGGUAGAAUUCUCGCCUGCCACGCGGGAGGCCCGGGUUCAAUUCCUGGCCAAUGCA
Molecule: transfer RNA, 71 nt
Filed under: Perca flavescens (yellow perch)
Lineage: Eukaryota; Metazoa; Chordata; Actinopteri; Perciformes; Percidae
Rfam family: tRNA
About the family: Transfer RNA (tRNA) molecules are approximately 80 nucleotides in length. Their secondary structure includes four short double-helical elements and three loops (D, anti-codon, and T loops).
Source: Rfam by way of RNAcentral